Molecule: ribosomal RNA, 1208 nt
Filed under: Vibrio cholerae
Lineage: Bacteria; Pseudomonadati; Pseudomonadota; Gammaproteobacteria; Vibrionales; Vibrionaceae
Also listed under: 1 other name
Description: partial 23S ribosomal RNA
Rfam family: Bacterial large subunit ribosomal RNA
Source: RNAcentral
GGUUAAGUGACUAAGCGUACACGGUGGAUGCCUGGGCAGUCAGAGGCGAUGAAGGACGUACUAACUUGCGAUAAGCGCAGAUAAGGCAGUAAGAGCCGUUUGAGUCUGCGAUUUCCGAAUGGGGAAACCCAACUGCAUAAGCAGUUACUGUUAACUGAAUACAUAGGUUAACAGAGCAAACCGGGGGAACUGAAACAUCUAAGUACCCCGAGGAGAAGAAAUCAACCGAGAUUCCGGUAGUAGCGGCGAGCGAACCUGGAUUAGCCCUUAAGCACUCGGUGAAGUAGGUGAACAAGCUGGAAAGCUUGGCGAUACAGGGUGAUAGCCCCGUAACCGACGCUUCAUCGAGCGUGAAAUCGAGUAGGGCGGGACACGUGAUAUCCUGUCUGAAUAUGGGGGGACCAUCCUCCAAGGCUAAAUACUCCUGACUGACCGAUAGUGAACCAGUACCGUGAGGGAAAGGCGAAAAGAACCCCUGUGAGGGGAGUGAAAUAGAACCUGAAACCGUGUACGUACAAGCAGUAGGAGCACCUUCGUGGUGUGACUGCGUACCUUUUGUAUAAUGGGUCAGCGACUUAUAUUCAGUGGCAAGGUUAACCGUAUAGGGGAGCCGUAGCGAAAGCGAGUCUUAACUGGGCGCUCAGUCUCUGGAUAUAGACCCGAAACCGGGUGAUCUAGCCAUGGGCAGGUUGAAGGUUGAGUAACAUCAACUGGAGGACCGAACCGACUAAUGUUGAAAAAUUAGCGGAUGACUUGUGGCUAGGGGUGAAAGGCCAAUCAAACUCGGAGAUAGCUGGUUCUCCCCGAAAGCUAUUUAGGUAGCGCCUCGGACGAAUACUACUGGGGGUAGAGCACUGUUAAGGCUAGGGGGUCAUCCCGACUUACCAACCCUUUGCAAACUCCGAAUACCAGUAAGUACUAUCCGGGAGACACACGGCGGGUGCUAACGUCCGUCGUGGAGAGGGAAACAACCCAGACCGCCAGCUAAGGUCCCAAAGUAUUGCUAAGUGGGAAACGAUGUGGGAAGGCUCAGACAGCUAGGAUGUUGGCUUAGAAGCAGCCAUCAUUUAAAGAAAGCGUAAUAGCUCACUAGUCGAGUCGGCCUGCGCGGAAGAUGUAACGGGGCUAAGCAAUACACCGAAGCUGCGGCAAUGUCUUUUAGACAUUGGGUAGGGGAGCGUUCUGUAAGCCGUUGAAGGUGAAUCGUA